This 595-nucleotide ribosomal RNA is filed under the name uncultured Lachnospiraceae bacterium. Its description in RNAcentral is "bacterial SSU rRNA". It matches the Rfam family "Bacterial small subunit ribosomal RNA", at positions 90 to 701 of the family's 1533-position model. The record is from RNAcentral. Lineage: Bacteria; Bacillati; Bacillota; Clostridia; Lachnospirales; Lachnospiraceae.
ACUUAGUGGCGGACGGGUGAGUAACGCGUGGGUAACCUGCCCUGUACAGGGGGACAACAGCUGGAAACGGCUGCUAAUACCGCAUAAGCCCUUAGCACUGCAUGGUGCAUAGGGAAAAGGAGCAAUCCGGUACAGGAUGGACCCGCGUCUGAUUAGCCAGUUGGCAGGGUAACGGCCUACCAAAGCGACGAUCAGUAGCCGAUCUGAGAGGAUGUACGGCCACAUUGGGACUGAGACACGGCCCAGACUCCUACGGGAGGCAGCAGUGGGGAAUAUUGCACAAUGGAGGAAACUCUGAUGCAGCGACGCCGCGUGAGUGAAGAAGUAUUUCGGUAUGUAAAGCUCUAUCAGCAGGGAAGAAAAUGACGGUACCUGACUAAGAAGCACCGGCUAAAUACGUGCCAGCAGCCGCGGUAAUACGUAUGGUGCAAGCGUUAUCCGGAUUUACUGGGUGUAAAGGGAGCGUAGGUGGCAAGGCAAGCCAGAAGUGAAAACCCGGGGCUCAACCGCGGGAUUGCUUUUGGAACUGUCAUGCUAGAGUGCAGGAGGGGUGAGCGGAAUUCCUAGUGUAGCGGUGAAAUGCGUAGAUAUUAGG